GAUGCUUUCAGGCUCCUUCAUUCUAAAGAGUUCAUAUUCAUGUGUUAGAAAAUCAACUCUAGCUUCUCGGACUUGAGGCGUACCUUCAUAAGUGAUUUCAAGCUUAUCCCACAUCUCUUUGGCGGUUGUGCAGCAAGAGAUUUUCUGAUAGUCAUCCGGAUUCACGGCACAAUACAACAUAUUGAUGGCCUUUGCGUUAAUUUCAAUCUUCUUGAUGUCUUCGGCAUUAUAUUCAUCUUCCUCCUUUGGAACCAUGAUUUCCC
Molecule: long non-coding RNA, 263 nt
Filed under: Nicotiana benthamiana
Lineage: Eukaryota; Viridiplantae; Streptophyta; Magnoliopsida; Solanales; Solanaceae
Description: long non-coding RNA (NBEN_LNC014407)
Source: RNAcentral